GGGAGGUUUUGAAGGUUUGACCUUGAUGGA
This 30-nucleotide non-coding RNA is filed under the name Mus musculus (house mouse). Lineage: Eukaryota; Metazoa; Chordata; Mammalia; Rodentia; Muridae. The record is from RNAcentral.